RNAcentral lists this small nuclear RNA (329 nucleotides) under Amazona aestiva (blue-fronted amazon). RNAcentral's name for it is "7SK RNA". It matches the Rfam family "7SK RNA". Rfam says of the family: 7SK was discovered as an abundant small nuclear RNA in the mid-70s but a possible function has only recently been suggested. Two independent studies have found that 7SK RNA binds the CDK9/cyclin T complex (known as elongation factor P-TEFb). P-TEFb activates transcription by phosphorylating the C-terminal domain of RNA polymerase II. Lineage: Eukaryota; Metazoa; Chordata; Aves; Psittaciformes; Psittacidae. The record is from Rfam by way of RNAcentral.
GGAUGUGAGGGUGAUCUGGCUGCAACAUCUGUCACCCUAUUGAUGGCCAGGGUUGGUUCGGCUGAUCUGGCUGGCUAGGUGGGUGUCCCCUUCCUCCCUCACCACUCCAUGUGCAUUAGUCCCGAAGCUGAAUGCUCGGUCGACGUGGAUGACCUUCCCCGAUACAGGUGGUACUGUUCAUCAGUCAUGGGUAUACGGUAGCUGUGCUCCCCUCCUAGAACCUCCAAACAAGCUCAAGGUCCAGUUGUAGGAGAACGUAGGGUAAUCAAGCUUCCAAGACUGCAGACACAUCCAACUGAGGCGCUGCACAUGACAGUCUGGCAUACUUU